Strongylocentrotus purpuratus (purple sea urchin) is the source of this 206-nucleotide long non-coding RNA. RefSeq lists it as uncharacterized. NCBI's taxonomy places the organism in Eukaryota, Metazoa, Echinodermata, Echinoidea, Camarodonta, Strongylocentrotidae. The transcript is spliced from 2 exons. The record is from RefSeq and is a predicted model, not a curated record.
UAUUCUAGUCCCACUCGUAGAGAAACGAGUUUGUUGUCGAAUGACGGACCGUCGACGAGCGGAACUGGCCCCAGAAAACAGCUGAAAAGGAAUCAGAAAACACAACCUGCUAAAGCACCACGCAAGAAGAAGAGCAAGUCUUCCAAGUCCGAGAGUGUGUCUGCGAGGUAUGUCCUUACUAAGUAGAAAUCUAAAUCUAUUGUUGA